Molecule: long non-coding RNA, 1501 nt
Filed under: Monodelphis domestica (gray short-tailed opossum)
Lineage: Eukaryota; Metazoa; Chordata; Mammalia; Didelphimorphia; Didelphidae
Description: lncRNA (ENSMODG00000037431.1)
Source: RNAcentral
UAAUAUUGCACUAGAAAAUGCUAGCUUUAGCAAUAAGAGGUGUAGCAGUCCGCCCCCUAGCUAUGGGCAAGGGGAACACAGUAUGUGCAGAUUGCUCAGUCUUGGGCAUGCUCAGUAGUGCUCAUGGCUGGGAAGGCCUCUGACCCUUGACCCCAGCUUCUCCCAGGUUAGGCGGGAAAACAGGUUUCUUUGUUCUCACCUGGUUAAGAGAAACCACACCUAUGCCUUGUCAUUAACCAAUGAGAAUCAUCCCUAUGUACUGUGUAUAUUUGCAUAUCAAAAACUAUAUCUAGCCCAGCAGGCUCCGCCUUCUCUCUCUCUGCUCUCUGCUCUCUGCUCGCUCCUUCUCUUUCAGGCUACCUGAUGGCUGUCCUUGCAGGAGCUUGGCCUCUGGCCAAGCUCCAUCUUUAAUCUUUCUCUAUUCACCUCUCUGACCUGCGUGGUAUGGAUCUCAGGACUGGAAAAGCCUACAGAAUUGGUCCUUUGAUCAGAGCUUAGCUGUGGCUCAUUGAUAAUUAAUAAAGACUCAUCCUGAACACCUCAUAUCUCUACUAGGACUCCGUCACUUCCCUCGUGGUAUCAAAACUUCUAUCCUGUCUCUAUCUUCCUACCUUGUGGCUUCUCUCACCUCAGAGAGAGCCACAGAUGGCGCCCAACUUUCUCGUGGCAUUCCACUCUUUUAUUUCACACAGCGAAUGGGAGAACGCGUUCGAGGACACGAGGCUAAUAGUAGGCGGGUGCCGGAGUUCCAGGAAGGUUGCCGUACCUCUGGCCAAGGACGAUACAUGGAGUCCAUGGAAGAUGAUUAAGAGCAUCUGAUGGCAAGAAAAUCUGCCCGGAAGAAGGACAGAAGGCAGAGGUGUCUGGCACAGGACACCAGAAAAGCAGCACAUGGACUGUAAAGACUGCCCUAUAGGCAGGUUUAACACACUAUACACACACACACAUGCAAUUGUAUGAGAAACAAUGUACAUGCAGAAGAGUAUCAUUAAGUCACUAACAGAUAUUCUGUUCUAGGAAUAUAUGGGUAUUUGGUAAAAGAUCUAACUAUUACAUGCCUGAAAAUUUUGAAUGGUAUUGGUACAAUGUGUAACUUGAAAUGAUAUUAUUGGAAUUGUUCCAUGUUAGCCAAAUGUGAUCAAAUAUCAAAAGGGUAUAAUUGGGAAUAUUAUGACAGUAUAAGGAAUGCUGUCCACUUGCAGCACAAAAAGGGUAUUACUAUCCAAAAUGUAAUGAUGAUUAUGGUCUUAAAGGGUACAUUAUAUUUGCAAACAAUAUGUUUUUGCUAGAAUCAGACUUAUCUAGAAGUCAAUAUUGUUAAGCUGUGACUGUUCCACUUUCAUAAAGAAAGAGGUGGAUAUGAUAUCACUAAUCAUCUAUCUCUUCUACACCCCAGAAAGAAUAUAAGUUAAAGCUUUGUAACAAUCAAUAUUGAAUUUAAUGAUAAAGAUCACAUUGUGUGAGAUACCUGAAUUGGGUUAAAUAUCAUCAAGAUAUUAAG